GGCGAACGGGGUGAGUUACACGUGGGCAACCUGCCCUCAGGCUCUGGUGGAUGAACUCCAAGUAAAUUGGUGCUAAUACCGGAAUGUGACCGCGUGACCGCAUGGUCUGGUGGUGGAAAGAUUCAUCGGCCUGGUGGAUGGGCCCGCGGCCUAUCUAGCUUGGUUGGUGGGGUCACGGCCCACCAGGGCGACGUACGGGUAGCCAGGCCUGUAGGUAGGGUGACCGGCCACAUCUGGGACUGAGACACGGCCCAGACUCCUACGGGAGUCAGCAUGUGGGGAAUAUUGCGCAAUGGCGAAAGCCCUGACGCAGCGACGCCGUCGUGAGGGAUUGACGCCUUCGGUUGUAAACCUCUUUCAGUAGGGACGAAGCGCAAGUGACGGUACCUACGGAAGAAGCACCGCCAACUAUCGUGCCA
This 419-nucleotide ribosomal RNA is filed under the name uncultured bacterium. Its description in RNAcentral is "bacterial SSU rRNA". It matches the Rfam family "Bacterial small subunit ribosomal RNA", at positions 97 to 510 of the family's 1533-position model. The record is from RNAcentral.